UAUAUAAGUAACCUACCUUGUGGAUUGGAAUAACGUAGAGAAAUUUGCGCUAAUACCGAAUGAUGCAGCGGCACCGCAUGGUGAUGUUGUUAAAGUCAUUUAUGGCGCCACAAGAUGGGCUUGUAUUCGAUUAGCUAGUUGGUGGGGUAAUAGCCCACCAAGGCAACGAUCGAUAGCUGGUCUGAGAGGAUGAUCAGCCACACUGGAACUGAGACACGGUCCAGACUCCUACGGGAGGCAGCAGUGAGGAAUAUUGGGCAAUGCCCGCAAGGGUGACCCAGCAACGCCACGUGGAGGAUGAAUGCCGUAAGGUUGUAAACUCCUUUUGGAGGGGACGAAAAAAUAAGUUGGUAGCUUAUAUUGACUGUACCCUCAGAAAAAGCCCCGGCUAACUACGUG
This 399-nucleotide ribosomal RNA is filed under the name uncultured bacterium. Its description in RNAcentral is "bacterial SSU rRNA". It matches the Rfam family "Bacterial small subunit ribosomal RNA", at positions 114 to 507 of the family's 1533-position model. The record is from RNAcentral.